This 418-nucleotide long non-coding RNA is filed under the name Pan troglodytes (chimpanzee). RNAcentral's name for it is "lincRNA". Lineage: Eukaryota; Metazoa; Chordata; Mammalia; Primates; Hominidae. The record is from RNAcentral.
ACUCAAGAACCCAGCCCCCAUAGUGUGAGGAGGCCUAGGACAGUUACAGAAGCCAUGUGUAGGUGUUCUGGCUCCAGCAAAAGUCUUAUCUGACAACAUCAACUACAUGUUAGUUGGGUUUGUCUUGGUCCAUUUUAUGCUGCUAUAACAGAACACCACAGACUGAGAAAUUUAUAAGGAAUAGAAGUUUAUUUGCCUCAUGUUUCUGGAGGCUGGGAAUUCCAAGAUCAAGGGGCUGCAUAGAUUGAGGUCCUUUUUGCUGAGUCAUAACGUGGAAAGAGAGUGCACUGCAUAGAAGAAAGGAGGCCAAACUCAUUCUUUUAUCAUGAGCCUACUCCUGAAAUAACUCACUCUCAAGAUAAUGGCAUUAAUCCAUUCAUGAAGGCAGAACACUCAUGAUGUAAUCACCUCUUAAAAG